Lucilia cuprina (Australian sheep blowfly) is the source of this 731-nucleotide long non-coding RNA. RefSeq lists it as uncharacterized. The transcript has 3 exons. Lineage: Eukaryota; Metazoa; Arthropoda; Insecta; Diptera; Calliphoridae. The record is from RefSeq and is a predicted model, not a curated record.
GUAAGUAACACGGUGGUUUCUGCUGACAAGGUUCAGGCAUUGCAGAUGGAUGUUGGUUCGUUAUUUUGUCCGUCGGUUGCUACGUUAGAUGGACCCAACAACUACUAGAUGAAUGAAUGGUGAAUUUUAAAUAAAACAACAAAACAAGAAGAAAAUAUUGAACUGAAAUUUUAAACAGAAAAUGUGUAAUGACGUUGCAGAUGGCACAUAAAAAUUAAAAAAAAAUGCAAAUAAAAUAACAAAAACAUCAUAAAGUUUUGUUUGCAACUACCAGAGAAUUGAGUUCAGUUUAUUUGAAAUUCAUUUCAGAAGCAUUUUACUAGAGAUGGCAACUUUUUCUUCUGUUACAACUUGUUCAACAAAAAUGUUUUUUGGGUAUUUGGUGGAUUUAAGUACGAAUAUGUUGUUGUACUUAAUGUUGUUUUGCGAACAUGAAAUGUGGCGAAAAAAAAAAACUAAAAACUUUUUUAAGUGCUGAGUUUCAUUUCAUACCAACAAACAUGCCAACAGCCUGUCUGCGAUGGCUCAUGUAUUCAUAAGAUACAAAAGUGGAGAAAGCUAAAUGUGAAACCUCAAAUUUAAAAUUACGAAAAUGAAGACAUGGUGAACCAAUAUCAAUCAUACUUGUGAAUGUAGAGCAGAUUGUUACUUUAAUUUUGGAAUAUUUAGUACAUUUUAAGUUUAUUUUCUUUUACUUUAAUAAUUUUAAAUACGUACUUGAAGAAAAGUUU